RNAcentral lists this ribosomal RNA (305 nucleotides) under uncultured bacterium. Its description in RNAcentral is "bacterial SSU rRNA". It matches the Rfam family "Bacterial small subunit ribosomal RNA", at positions 337 to 659 of the family's 1533-position model. The record is from RNAcentral.
ACCUACGGGAGGUAGCAGUGGGGAAUAUUGCGCAAUAGGGGAAACCCUGAUGCAGCGACGCCGCGUGAGUGAAGAAGUAUUUCGGUAUGUAAAGCUCUAUCAGCAGGGAAGAAAAUGACGGUACCUGACUAAGAAGCCCCGGCUAACUACGUGCCAGCAGCCGCGGUAAUACGUAGGGGGCAAGCGUUAUCCGGAUUUACUGGGUGUAAAGGGAGCGUAGACGGCAGCGCAAGUCUGAAGUGAAAUCCCAUGGCUUAACCAUGGAACUGCUUUGGAAACUGUGCAGCUGGAGUGCAGGAGAGGAA